GACGAACGCUGGCGGCGUGCUUAACACAUGCAAGUCGAACGGAAAGGCCUCUUUCGGGGGGUACUCGAGUGGCGAACGGGUGAGUAACACGUGAGUAACCUGCCCUUGACUUUGGGAUAACUUCAGGAAACUGGGGCUAAUACCGGAUAGGAGCUCCUGCUGCAUGGGGGGGGUUGGAAAGUUUCGGCGGUUGGGGAUGGACUCGCGGCUUAUCAGCUUGUUGGUGGGGUAGUGGCUUACCAAGGCUUUGACUGGGAGCCGGCCUGAGAGGGUGACCGGCCACAGUGGGACUGAGAUACGGCCCAGACUCCUACGGGAGGCAGCAGUGGGGAAUAUUGCACAAUGGGUGGAAGCCUGAUGCAGCAACGCCGUGUGCGGGAUGACGGCCUUCGGGUUGUAAACCGCUUUCGCUCAUGACGAAGCUUUGUGUGACGGUAGUGGGUAAAGAAGCACCGGCUAACUACGU
Molecule: ribosomal RNA, 466 nt
Filed under: uncultured bacterium
Lineage: Bacteria
Description: partial 16S ribosomal RNA
Rfam family: Bacterial small subunit ribosomal RNA
Source: RNAcentral